GGCAGGUUGCCCGAGUGGCCAAAGGGAACAGACUGUAAAUCUGUCGGCUGAUGCCUACGCAGGUUCGAACCCUGCACCUGCCACCA
RNAcentral lists this transfer RNA (86 nucleotides) under Nocardioidaceae bacterium. Its description in RNAcentral is "tRNA-Tyr". It matches the Rfam family "tRNA". Rfam says of the family: Transfer RNA (tRNA) molecules are approximately 80 nucleotides in length. Their secondary structure includes four short double-helical elements and three loops (D, anti-codon, and T loops). Lineage: Bacteria; Bacillati; Actinomycetota; Actinomycetes; Propionibacteriales; Nocardioidaceae. RNAcentral also lists the same sequence under 1 other name. The record is from RNAcentral.